This 188-nucleotide unclassified non-coding RNA is filed under the name rhizosphere metagenome. Its description in RNAcentral is "partial ribosomal RNA internal transcribed spacer region". The record is from RNAcentral.
GAGUAUCAUGCCCUUCGGGGUAGAUCUCCACCCUUGAAUAACAUACCUUUGUUGCUUUGGCAGGACGCACUCGUGCCAGGGGCUUCGGCUCUUGAGUGCCUGCCAGAGAACCACAAACUCCGCAUCAUAGUUAUCGUCUGAGUCUGAUAUAAAUAUCUAAAACUUUCAACAACGGAUCUCUUGGUUCU